This 253-nucleotide ribosomal RNA is filed under the name uncultured bacterium. RNAcentral's name for it is "partial 16S ribosomal RNA". It matches the Rfam family "Bacterial small subunit ribosomal RNA", at positions 524 to 776 of the family's 1533-position model. The record is from RNAcentral.
UACGUAGGGUCCGAGCGUUGUCCGGAAUUAUUGGGCGUAAAGAGCUCGUAGGCGGUUUGUCGCGUCUGCUGUGAAAUCCCGAGGCUCAACCUCGGGCCUGCAGUGGGUACGGGCAGACUAGAGUGCGGUAGGGGAGACUGGAAUUCCUGGUGUAGCGGUGAAAUGCGCAGAUAUCAGGAGGAACACCGGUGGCGAAGGCGGGUCUCUGGGCCGUAACUGACGCUGAGGAGCGAAAGCGUGGGGAGCGAACAGG